RNAcentral lists this ribosomal RNA (549 nucleotides) under uncultured Glomus. Its description in RNAcentral is "SSU rRNA". It matches the Rfam family "Eukaryotic small subunit ribosomal RNA", at positions 548 to 1098 of the family's 1831-position model. The record is from RNAcentral. Lineage: Eukaryota; Fungi; Glomeromycota; Glomeromycetes; Glomerales; Glomeraceae.
UUGGAGGGCAAGUCUGGUGCCAGCAGCCGCGGUAAUUCCAGCUCCAAUAGCGUAUAUUAAAGUUGUUGCAGUUAAAAAGCUCGUAGUUGAAUUUCGGGAUCAAUGGAUCGGUCAUGCCGUUGGUAUGUACUGGUUUUAUUGAUUCUCACCUUCUAAAGAACCAUGAUGGCAUUAAUUUGUUGUUGUGGGGAAUUAGGACUGUUACCUUGAAAAAAUUAGAGUGUUUAAAGCAGGCUUACGCUUGAAUACAUUAGCAUGGAAUAACGAAAUAGGACAUCGCAUUCUAUUUUGUUGGUUUCUAGGAUCGAUGUAAUGAUUAAUAGGGAUAGUUGGGGGCAUUAGUAUUCAAUUGUCAGAGGUGAAAUUCUUGGAUUUAUUGAAGACUAACUACUGCGAAAGCAUUUGCCAAGGAUGUUUUCAUUAAUCAAGAACGAAAGUUAGGGGAUCGAAGACGAUCAGAUACCGUCGUAGUCUUAACCAUAAACUAUGCCGACUAGGGAUCGGAUGAUGUUAAUUUUUUAAUGACUCAUUCGGCACCUUACGGGAAAC